GAAAGAAAGAGAAGGAAAGCAAGCAAGCAGCCAAAGCCCUGGGAACCCAUCGAGGAAUGGCCCCGGCAGCAGAGUUACCCUCAGCCACAGGCCAGAGAUCAAACGUCGCUGAACCAGUGUGAGGAAAAGAAUGGCAGGCAGACGUCUUCUUUUUCCGCACACAGUCUGUAAUCAGCUCUCCACAAGGUCAUCCCAGAACACCAAGGACAGUCCAGAUACCUCCAGGCUCUCCUCAGUAAUGGACGGAAGCAGUGGUGCAGAUAAUCUGCCCAAAUGGCGGGCUCCAGUUCUCCCUGGAUUCCAGGAACACCAUCUCCUUCCUCGUCCCUUCCGUCCCAGGGAAGGUUUACACUGAAAAUUUUUUGUGAUGAAAAGAUUUGAAGAAGAUGACAGGAGACGGAGAAGCACCAGCUGAUCUGCAGACUCCAAGGAGGUCCCAGGAAGAGGUGUCAUCCACUAAGAUCUUCUGGGACAGGAAAGCCCUGUGAUACCUCUU
This 496-nucleotide long non-coding RNA is filed under the name Pan troglodytes (chimpanzee). RNAcentral describes it as "lincRNA". The record is from RNAcentral. Lineage: Eukaryota; Metazoa; Chordata; Mammalia; Primates; Hominidae.